GAAACGACUGCUAAGACUGGAUAGGAGACAAGAAGGCAUCUUCUUGUUUUUAAAAGACCUAGCAAUAGGUAUGCUUAGGGAGGAGCUUGCGUCACAUUAGUUAGUUGGUGGGGUAAAGGCCUACCAAGACUAUGAUGUGUAGCCGGGCUGAGAGGUUGAACGGCCACAUUGGGACUGAGACACGGCCCAAACUCCUACGGGAGGCAGCAGUAGGGAAUUUUCGGCAAUGGAGGAAACUCUGACCGAGCAACGCCGCGUGAACGAUGAAGUAUUUCGGUACGUAAAGUUCUUUUAUUAGGGAAGAAUAAAUGAUGGAAAAAUCAUUCUGACGGUACCUAAUGAAUAAGCCCCGGCUAACUAUGUGCCAGCAGCCGCGGUAAUACAUAGGGGGCAAGCGUUAUCCGGAAUUAUUGGGCGUAAAGGGUGCGUAUGCGGUUAAAUAAGUUUAUGGUCUAAGUGCAAUGCUCAACAUUGUGAUGCUAUAAAAACUGUUUAGCUAGAGUAAGAUAGAGGCAAGUGGAAUUCCAUGUGUAGUGGUAAAAUGCGUAAAUAUAUGGAGGAACACCACUAGCGAAGGCGGCUUGCUGGGUCUUUACUGACGCUGAGGCACGAAAGCGUGGGGAGCAAACAGGAUUAGAUACCCUGGUAGUCCACGCCGUAAACGAUGAGUACUAAACGUUGGGUAAAACCAGUGUUGAAGUUAACACAUUAAGUACUCCGCCUGAGUAGUACGUACGCAAGUAUGAAACUUAAAGGAAUUGACGGGACUCCGCACAAGCGGUGGAUCAUGUUGUUUAAUUCGAAGGUACCCGAAAAACCUCACCAGGUCUUGACAUGCUUCUGCAAAGCUGUAGAAACACAGUGGAGGUUAUCAGUUGCACAGGUGGUGCAUGGUUGUCGUCAGCUCGUGUCGUGAGAUGUUGGGUUAAGUCCCGCAACGAGCGCAACCCUUAUUGUUAGUUACCAGCACGUAAUGGUGGGGACUUUAGCAAGACUGCCAGUGAUAAAUUGGAGGAAGGUGGGGAUGACGUCAAAUCAUCAUGCCCCUUAUGACCUGGGCUACAAACGUGAUACAAUGGCUGUUACAAAGGGUAGCUGAAGCGCAAGUUUUUGGCGAAUCUCAAAAAAACAGUCUCAGUUCGGAUUGAAGUCUGCAACUCGACUUCAUGAAGUUGGAAUCGCUAGUAAUCGCGAAUCAGCAUGUCGCGGUGAAUACGUUCUCGGGGUUUGUACACACCGCCCGUCA
Molecule: ribosomal RNA, 1246 nt
Filed under: Sandal spike phytoplasma
Lineage: Bacteria; Bacillati; Mycoplasmatota; Mollicutes; Acholeplasmatales; Acholeplasmataceae
Description: bacterial SSU rRNA
Rfam family: Bacterial small subunit ribosomal RNA
Source: RNAcentral